CACCGGAGAGGGAGCCUGAGAAACGGCUACCACAUCCAAGGAUGGCAGCAGGCGCGCAAAUUACCCAAUCCCGACACGGGGAGGUAGUGACAAUAAAUAACAAUACGGGGUUCUUUAGGAUCUCGUAAUUGGAAUGAGUACAAUUUAAAUCUCUUAACGAGGAACAAUUGGAGGGCAAGUCUGGUGCCAGCAGCCGCGGUAAUUCCAGCUCCAAUAGCGUAUAUUAAAGUUGUUGCAGUUAAAAAGCUCGUAGUUGAAUUUCGGGGUUAGUAGGUUGGUCAUGCCUCUGGUAUGUACUGGUCUCACUGAUUCCUCCUUCCUUAUGAACCGUAAUGCCAUUAAUUUGGUGUUGCGGGGAAUUUGGACUGUUACUUUGAAAAAAUUAGAGUGUUUAAAGCAAGCUAACGCUUGAAUACAUUAGCAUGGAAUAAUGAAAUAGGACGUUCGAUCUUAUUUUGUUGGUUUCUAGGAUUGACGUAAUGAUUAAUAGGGAUAGUUGGGGGCAUUAGUAUUCAAUUGUCAGAGGUGAAAUUCUUGGAUUUAUUGAAGACUAACUACUGCGAAAGCAUUUGCCAAGGAUGUUUUCAUUAAUCAAGAACGAAAGUUAGGGGAUCGAAGACGAUCAGAUACCGUCGUAGUCUUAACCAUAAACUAUGCCGACUAGGGAUCGGAUGAUGUUAAUUUUUUAAUGACUCAUUCGGCGCCUUACGGGAAACC
This 717-nucleotide ribosomal RNA is filed under the name uncultured fungus. Its description in RNAcentral is "SSU rRNA". It matches the Rfam family "Eukaryotic small subunit ribosomal RNA", at positions 381 to 1099 of the family's 1831-position model. The record is from RNAcentral. Lineage: Eukaryota; Fungi.